RNAcentral lists this ribosomal RNA (480 nucleotides) under uncultured bacterium. RNAcentral's name for it is "partial 16S ribosomal RNA". It matches the Rfam family "Bacterial small subunit ribosomal RNA", at positions 30 to 507 of the family's 1533-position model. The record is from RNAcentral.
AUUGAACGCUGGCGGAAUGCUUUACACAUGCAAGUCGAACGGUAGAGGGGGCAACCCCUUGAGAGUGGCGAACGGGUGAGUAAUAUAUCGGAACGUGCCCAGUCGUGGGGGAUCACGUAGCGAAAGUUACGCUAAUACCGCAUACGAUCUAAGGAUGAAAGCGGGGGAUCGCAAGACCUCGCGCGACUGGAGCGGCCGAUAUCAGAUUAGGUAGUUGGUAGGGUAAAGGCCUACCAAGCCAACGAUCUGUAGCUGGUCUGAGAGGACGACCAGCCACACUGGAACUGAGACACGGUCCAGACUCCUACGGGAGGCAGCAGUGGGGAAUUUUGGACAAUGGGCGAAAGCCUGAUCCAGCCAUUCCGCGUGCAGGAUGAAGGCCCUCGGGUUGUAAACUGCUUUUGUACAGAACGAAAAGGUUUCUAUUAAUACUAGGAGCUCAUGACGGUACUGUAAGAAUAAGCACCGGCUAACUACGUG